AGCGUACACGGUGGAUGCCUAGGCAGUCAGAGGCGAUGAAGGGCGUGUUAAUCUGCGAUAAGCGUCGGUAAGGUGAUAUAAACCGUUACAACCGGCGAUACCCGAAUGGGGAAACCCAGUGCAAUUCGUUGCACUAUCAUACGAUGAAUACAUAGUCGUAUGAGGCGAACCGGGGGAACUGAAACAUCUAAGUACCCCGAGGAAAAGAAAUCAACCGAGAUUCCCCCAGUAGCGGCGAGCGAACGGGGAGGAGCCCAGAACCUGAAUCAGUUCUUGUGUUAGUGGAAGCGUCUGGAAAGUCGCACAGCAAAGGGUGAUAGUCCCGUACACUAAAAUGCAUUAAUUGUGAGUUCGAUGAGUAGGGCGGGACACGUGACAUCCUGUCUGAAUAUGGGGGGACCAUCCUCCAAGGCUAAAUACUCCUGACUGACCGAUAGUGAACCAGUACCGUGAGGGAAAGGCGAAAAGAACCCCGGCGAGGGGAGUGAAAUAGAACCUGAAACCGUGUACGUACAAGCAGUGGGAGCCUACUUUGUUGGGUGACUGCGUACCUUUUGUAUAAUGGGUCAGCGACUUAUAUUUUGUAGCAAGGUUAACCGUAUAGGGGAGCCGUAGGGAAACCGAGUCUUAACUGGGCGAAUAGUUGCAAGGUAUAGACCCGAAACCCGGUGAUCUAGCCAUGGGCAGGUUGAAGGUUGGGUAACACUAACUGGAGGACCGAACCGACUAAUGUUGAAAAAUUAGCGGAUGACUUGUGGCUGGGGGUGAAAGGCCAAUCAAACCGGGAGAUAGCUGGUUCUCCCCGAAAGCUAUUUAGGUAGCGCCUCGUGAACUCAUCUUCGGGGGUAGAGCACUGUUUCGGCUAGGGGGCCAUCCCGGCUUACCAAACCGAUGCAAACUCCGAAUACCGAAGAAUGUUAUCACGGGAGACACACGGCGGGUGCUAACGUCCGUCGUGAAGAGGGAAACAACCCAGACCGCCAGCUAAGGUCCCAAAGUCAUGGUUAAGUGGGAAACGAUGUGGGAAGGCAUAGACAGCCAGGAUGUUGGCUUAGAAGCAGCCAUCAUUUAAAGAAAGCGUAAUAGCUCACUGGUCGAGUCGGCCUGCGCGGAAGAUGUAACGGGGCUAAACCAUGCACCGAAGCUGCGGCAGCGACGCUUAGGCGUUGUUGGGUAGGGGAGCGUUCUGUAAGCCGUUGAAGGUGGCCUGUGAGGGUUGCUGGAGGUAUCAGAAGUGCGAAUGCUGACAUAAGUAACGAUAAAGCGGGUGAAAAACCCGCUCGCCGGAAGACCAAGGGUUCCUGUCCAACGUUAAUCGGGGCAGGGUGAGUCGACCCCUAAGGCGAGGCCGAAAGGCGUAGUCGAUGGGAAACAGGUUAAUAUUCCUGUACUCGGUGUUACUGCGAAGGGGGGACGGAGAAGGCUAGGCUAGCCGGGCGACGGUUGUCCCGGUUUAAGCGUGUAGGGGGAGUGACUUGGUAAAUCCGGUUACUUAUCUAACCCUGAGGCGUGAUGACGAUGCACUACGGUGCAGAAGUAGUUGAUGCCAAGCUUCCAGGAAAAGCCUCUAAGCAUCAGGUAACAUCAAAUCGUACCCCAAACCGACACAGGUGGUCAGGUAGAGAAUACCAAGGCGCUUGAGAGAACUCGGGUGAAGGAACUAGGCAAAAUGGUGCCGUAACUUCGGGAGAAGGCACGCUGGCGCGUAGGUGAAGAGACUUGCUCUCGGAGCUGAAGCCAGUCGCAGAUACCAGCUGGCUGCAACUGUUUAAUAAAAACACAGCACUGUGCAAACACGAAAGUGGACGUAUACGGUGUGACGCCUGCCCGGUGCUGGAAGGUUAAUUGAUGGGGUCAGCCGCAAGGCGAAGCUCUUGAUCGAAGCCCCAGUAAACGGCGGCCGUAACUAUAACGGUCCUAAGGUAGCGAAAUUCCUUGUCGGGUAAGUUCCGACCUGCACGAAUGGCGUAACGAUGGCGGCGCUGUCUCCACCCGAGACUCAGUGAAAUUGAACUCGCUGUGAAGAUGCAGUGUACCCGCGGCAAGACGGAAAGACCCCGUGAACCUUUACUAUAGCUUGACACUGAACAUUGAGCCUUGAUGUGUAGGAUAGGUGGGAGGCUUUGAAGCGUGGACGCCAGUCUGCGUGGAGCCAACCUUGAAAUACCACCCUUUAAUGUUUGAUGUUCUAACUCGGCCCCGUAAUCCGGGGUGAGGACAGUGUCUGGUGGGUAGUUUGACUGGGGCGGUCUCCUCCCAAAGAGUAACGGAGGAGCACGAAGGUUAGCUAAUCACGGUCGGACAUCGUGAGGUUAGUGCAAAGGCAUAAGCUAGCUUGACUGCGAGAGUGACGGCUCGAGCAGGUACGAAAGUAGGUCUUAGUGAUCCGGUGGUUCUGAAUGGAAGGGCCAUCGCUCAACGGAUAAAAGGUACU
This 2434-nucleotide ribosomal RNA is filed under the name human gut metagenome. RNAcentral describes it as "bacterial LSU rRNA". It matches the Rfam family "Bacterial large subunit ribosomal RNA", at positions 14 to 2467 of the family's 2925-position model. The record is from RNAcentral.